This 4869-nucleotide long non-coding RNA is filed under the name Sus scrofa (pig). Its description in RNAcentral is "lncRNA (ENSSSCG00000056774.1)". Lineage: Eukaryota; Metazoa; Chordata; Mammalia; Artiodactyla; Suidae. The record is from RNAcentral.
UUUUUUUUUUUGCUUUUUAGGGCCGCACCCACAGCAUUUGGAGGUUCCCAGGGUAGGGGUCCCAUCGGAGCUAUAGCUGCCGGCCACAGCCACAGCCGCACCAGAUCCGAGCCCCAUCUGCCACCUACACCACAACUCCCAGCAAUGCCGCAUCCUUAACCGACUGAGCAAGGCCUGGAAUUGAACCUGUGUCCUCAUGGAUACCAGUCAGGUUAGUUAACUGCUGAGCCAUGACGGCAAUUCCCAAGACAAGAUUUAAUGCAGCACAUACACAACCUCUGAAGUUAGUAGCUGGUAGAUUACAUGCAGCUGAAAAUUGAGCUUAUGAUUUGCUGAAUGGAGGAGGGGGACACUCCAAGUUCAAGGAUAGCCAUUUGUCCCUCCAGCCUGCUUGCGUUAACCAGGUAAAUGGGGCCAGGAUCAGGAGGAGCCCUGAGCAGUAUCAUUUGCAACUUAAAAAGUUAUGUGUACCUAUGGUCACACUAAAAUGCUCAAGGGAGGUUUAUUUACAAGAGGCAACUUUAAAAUAAAUCAGGAAAGAUGCUCUUAUCAAAACAUCUUUUUAUCUAUUCCUAAUUUAAAAUCAAGUGACCCUGUAUAUAAGAGGGGGAAAAAGACUAAAAUUCGAUCACUUAUAAAUUAAUAAGUUAAUAUAGUUCAGCUAACCUAACGGUUUCAUAGGGAAAAAAUGGCAGAAAGGAAUCAAAGAAUUUGAAGAUAUGUUUCCAAAGUAUGGAAACUUUCUGAUUUCUUUGUCCUAAUCAAAUACACCAUAGUGAUCAUUUUAUUAUUAUUAUUAUUUUUUAAUUUUAAGGGCCACACCUGUGGCAUAUGGAAGUUUCCAGGCUAAAGGUUGAAUCAGAGCUGCAGCUGCUGGCCACGGCCACAGCCAUGGCAGUGGCAGAUCCGAGACGCAUCUGUGAACAACAUCACAGCGCAAGGCAAUGCCGGUUCCUUGACCCACCAAGCGAGGCCAGGAAUCGAACCUGCAUCCUCAUGGAUACUAGUCAGGUUCAUUACUGCUGAGCCACAACGGAAACUCCCAUAGAAAUUAUUUUCAAACAAUAAUUCAUUUUACAUGUUAUUCGCUCAAUAUCUUCAACAUUAAUUUAAUGUUCACCUUCCAACAGAAAUUUCUAGAAAUGCACAAUAAUUUUACUACUGAAAACUUCUCUUCAAAAAAAAAAAAAGACCUUGAUUCACAUUUUGCUGUAAGCCUGUACUGGUGCCAUCCAACACAUGAAGUUUUGGAGUGGAUUCCCUUGAAAUACAGGGAGAAACCGUGUUUGAACAAAGAAUUUCAAAAAUAGUAUCUGGGAGUUCCCGUUGUGGCACAGCAGAAACAAAUCUGACUAGGAACCAUGAGGUUGCGGGUUUGAUCCCUGGCCUUGCUCAGUGGGUUAAGGAUCUGGCGUUGCCAUGAACUGUGGUGUAGGUUGCAGACGCAGCUCCAAUGAGACCCCUACCCUGGGAACCUCCAUAUGCCACGGGUGUGACCUUAAAAGGACCAAAAAGAAAAAAAAAAAAGGUCAAAAAUAGUAUCUGUUUUGUGAAACUCAAUUUUCUAGGUGUGUUUAUCAGAAAUGAGUUUUUUCAAAACCCAAGUCAAGUCAGGUUCAGGCAGUGGUUGCCUCCUAUUGACGGGAGCUUCUGAGCUUCUGAGCUUUUCCCGUCUCUUCAGAAUCUUAAUAGCUCUGAACGCAUUAAUCUUAUUUAUGGCUGAGCAAUGUCCCCACCAUCUGCUCUUGCUAGUGUUCCAUCAGAAAAUGUAAUUCUUUUUUAAAAAAUAUAUUCAGCCUCAAUAAUUUGUGUUCGGAAUGUUUUAUUACAAAGCAGGUACAGGGAAAGCGGGGAUAGUGAGAAUAAACUUGAUCGUCUAAAUAAUUGUUUCCACCUGGUUAUAGACAAAAAUCACCAACUGAAUCAUGAAAGGCAAUUCGACAAAUAGUUUACAUUUCUGCUCGCACAGUCUGUUGCCAAAAUUCCAACUGAUAUUUCAGAACUGAACAUUUUUAACAAACUGUACUUUCAGACAGUGCAAAAUGUUUUUGUAUUUUAGUUCCAGAUGGAAUACUGGUUCAGCUGGGUGAAUAACUGAAUAUAAUCCAGCAUGAUCAUUUCUUAUUAAGUUAUAAAACAUAUACACAACUGACCCUCCUUUUUAUAGGCUAUUUACACUAGCAUUGUCAGUGAAAAUACCACGAUAUCAUGAAUUAACACACCUCUUCUUGCCAAAUAUCAAUUUGUUUUAGAGGUUUAAUAAAACCAGAGUGAACAAAAUGAAAAAUUUUUUCUUCUGUUUAAUUUUAUGGCCGCACCUGAGGCAAAUGGAAGUUCCCCAGGCCAGGGAUCAAACCCGUGCCUCCGCCUCAUCCUGAGCUGCUGCAGUCAUAUUCUUAACCCACCGUGCCACAGUGGAAACUCCAAAAAAUGUCAAUUUUUCAAAACUUCUUAAAUUUAUUUUUUAUUUUUAAAUUUAAAAAAUUUUUAAUUUUUGGUCUUUUUAGGGCCACACCCACCCGCAGCACAUGGAGGUUUCCAGCCUAGGGGUGGAAUUGGAGCUGCAGCUGCUGGUCUACACUACAACCACAGCAACGCUGGAUCCGAGCCGUAUCUGUGACCUACGCCACAGCUCAUGGCAAUGCCGGAUCCUUAACCCACUGAGCGGGGGCAGGGAUCAAACCCCCAUCUUCGAGGUUACCACAGUUACUAGUUGGGUUUGCUACUACUGAGUCAGGACAGGAACUCAUAAAACUUUUCUUUUUUUGGUCUUUUUAGGGAGCUGCACCUGAGGCAUAUGGAGGUUCCCAGGCGAGGGGUCAAAUCGGAGCUGGAGCUGCCGGCCUACACCACAGCCACAGCAACGCGGGAUCCGAGCCACGUCUGCGACCUACACCACAGCUCAUGGCAACGCCCGAUCCUUAACCCGCUACAUGAGGCCAGGGAUUGAACCUGGGUCCUCAUGGAUCCUAGUCAGAUUUGUUUCCGAUUGAGCCACCACGGGAACUCCCCUGAAACUUUUUUUUAAAGUAUAGCUGAUUUACAAUGUUGUGCCAUUGUCUGCUGUACAGCAAAGUGACCCAGUCUUGCGGACAUUCUUUUUCUCAUACUAUCUUCCUUCAUGUUUUAUUCCAAGAGACUGGAUAGAGCUGCCUGUGCUGUACAGCAGGACCUCAUUGCUCAUCCAUUCUAACUGUAAUGCUUGCAUCUACCAACCCUGCACUCCCUGUCCAUCCCCACAUCUUGUCUGUGAGUCUGUUUCUGUUGCGCCAGCAGUGGCCCCAUGGGAACCCAGGUCACUUGAACCUGACCCCCAGUCUUCCCCACGCACCUGGCUCUAACAUCUAAGGUCUGAGGUCCUCUAACUACGAGACUCCACAACAUGCCCCGUGAUAUUCGUCUCCUGGCUCCCUCUUCCCUCCUUCCUUCACGGUAGCCCCUGCUUCCCUCUCAAAGGCAGAUAGGUCGCAACAGGGCUAAUACUCUGUUUUGAACAUGCUACGCUCUGCUCAACACUUACGGGGUUUUUUUACAUUCAGACAAAUCCUGAACAAACUAUAUGCUACAUACAUCUCGUCAAAAGCUGGUUUUUUUCCUCACUAAAAAUGAAGCAAUUUUUAAAAAAUGUAAUGGCUUCAGAUUACUCUUGCAAAUUUUCUAAACUGAACCUGUCAAUUGCCAACAUAAACACGUCUAAGACAAAGACACAGCUAACUAUUCCAAAUGUGACUCAGUAUAGAAACACCUAUGAUAGCAUAAAAACAAAAAGAAAAUGCCACUAUAAGCAUUUGUAACUUCUGCAGGACUGUCUCCCAAAUCCAGAGAAAUGAAAUUCCACAGGAACUUACCUAACAAACACUACCCUUAACAACAUGAACCCAACUUUAAGAUGUUCAUUGAAGGUCUACUUAUAGCCAAAGUGGAAGGCAGUACAAGAUCAAGGUUUUAAAAAGGUUUUAAUGCAUUUAUGCAGCGCUGUGCGCCUUGCUCCGUGUUCUAUGUUGUGCUUGUCACUGAGUAAAAUGUACCUGGUUGGUUUGACCAAAUGCAAGCAUUUUCAAGUACUUGUCAGUCCUGCACCUUAUCAUUUGCAGGCUGAAGACUCCAGGUCUCACCUCAGACUGCUUUCUAAUCGCAAGCAGGCACUUCCGUUGUUUGGGCCACUAGGUUAAGUAAGCAAGGGCAGCCUAGAAAGACUUUUUUCCAGUCCCACUGAUCAAGGUCAUGGCUAUCUAUCACAGGGACCCAUAAUCACACCCACUCACAGCUCUCAUUAGCUUACAAAAAAGAAAGAACUCUCAACGGUUGGCCCUUGGCUCCCUGGCAGGAAGAGCCUAGUUUAGGCACAACCAAACAUCAAAUAGUUACGCUGAUGAUCUUGUCACUGGAUCCUGCAAUCUACCCUUUUUUUUUUUUUUUUUUUUUUUAAGGCUACACCCGUGGCAUAUGGAGGUUCCCAGGCCAGGGAUCCAAUCAGAGCUGUAGCUGCCGGCCUACACCACAGCCACAGCAAUGCCAGGUCGGAGCCACACCUGCAACUUACACCACAGUUCACAGCAACACUGGAUCCUUAACCCACUGAGCAAGGCCAGGGAUGGAUCCUGUGUCCUCAUGGAUCCUAGUCGGAUUUGUUUCCGCUGAGCCACGCCGGCAACUUCUGUAAUCCACUUUUUACAAGAUAAAUUCACCUAAACUGUCACUUUCAGACGGAUCGACUUGCAUCCCAAAAAUCAAGACGAAAACUUUAGCUUGCAAACUAAAACCUUAACUUUCCCAUGGAUAAUGCUUACAAAACAAGAUUCUUAUUUACACUAGAACGAACAGAUGAACCAAUCACAAGGUAAAAUUAAACAUUCUGCCAAGCAAAAC